GACGAACGCUGGCGGCGUGCUUAACACAUGCAAGUCGAACGGACAGGCCCUGCGUUUGUGGGGUUCUCGAGUGGCGAACGGGUGAGUAACACGUGAGUAACCUGCCCUUGACUGUGGGAUAACUUCAGGAGACUGGGGCUAAUACCGGAUAUGAUCUCCUGCUGCAUGGUGGGGGUUGGAAAGUUUCGGCGGUUGGGGCUGGACUCGCGGGUUAUCAGCUAGUUGGUGGGGUAGUGGCUGACCAAGGCUUUGACGGGUAGCCGGCCUGAGAGGGUGGACGGCCACAUUGGGACUGAGAUACGGCGCAGUAUCGUGCCGGAGGCAGUAGUGGGGAAUAUGGCACAAUGGGGGGAAGUGUGAUGUAGCAAUGUCGGGUGCGGGAUGACGGCCUUUGGGUUGUAAACCGAUGUGGAAUGUGCUGAAGAGUGCGUGACGGUAAUGGGUAAAGAAGCACCGGCUAACUACGUG
RNAcentral lists this ribosomal RNA (468 nucleotides) under uncultured bacterium. RNAcentral describes it as "partial 16S ribosomal RNA". It matches the Rfam family "Bacterial small subunit ribosomal RNA", at positions 28 to 507 of the family's 1533-position model. The record is from RNAcentral.